UAAGAGAUGGUGUAGUGGAUGCACUUGAAGUUUUGAUCUUCAUUGGAUAGGUUCAAGUCCUAUUUUUUUAG
Molecule: transfer RNA, 71 nt
Filed under: Desmognathus fuscus (dusky salamander)
Lineage: Eukaryota; Metazoa; Chordata; Amphibia; Caudata; Plethodontidae
Also listed under: 1 other name
Description: tRNA-Gln
Rfam family: tRNA
About the family: Transfer RNA (tRNA) molecules are approximately 80 nucleotides in length. Their secondary structure includes four short double-helical elements and three loops (D, anti-codon, and T loops).
Source: RNAcentral